UGCCCUCUACUGGAAUCGAACCAGUGACCUCAUCAUCGCAUACUCGUAGAACUGAGUCCCACAGUGGAAUGAAAGCCGCAUACUAGUGAUGCGCUCUACCACUGAGCUAAGAGGGC
Molecule: transfer RNA, 116 nt
Filed under: Elsinoe australis
Lineage: Eukaryota; Fungi; Ascomycota; Dothideomycetes; Myriangiales; Elsinoaceae
Description: tRNA-Thr
Source: RNAcentral